This 429-nucleotide ribosomal RNA is filed under the name Gemmatimonadota bacterium. RNAcentral describes it as "Gemmatimonadetes bacterium partial 16S ribosomal RNA". It matches the Rfam family "Bacterial small subunit ribosomal RNA", at positions 355 to 776 of the family's 1533-position model. The record is from RNAcentral. Lineage: Bacteria; Pseudomonadati; Gemmatimonadota.
UAGGGAAUCUUCGGCAAUGGACGAAAGUCUGACCGAGCAACGCCGCGUGAGUGAAGAAGGUUUUCGGAUCGUAAAACUCUGUUGUUAGAGAAGAACAAGGACGUUAGUAACUGAACGUCCCCUGACGGUAUCUAACCAGAAAGCCACGGCUAACUACGUGCCAGCAGCCGCGGUAAUACGUAGGUGGCAAGCGUUGUCCGGAUUUAUUGGGCGUAAAGCGAGCGCAGGCGGUUUCUUAAGUAUGAUGUCGAAGCCCCCGGCUCAACCGGGGAGGGUCAUUGCAAACUGGGGGACAUGAGUGCAGAAGAGGCGAGUGGAAGUCCAUGUGUAGCGGUGAAAUGCGUAGAUAUAUGGAGGAACACCAGUGGCGAAGGCGGCUCGCUGGACUGUAACAGACGAUGAGGCUCGAAAGCGUGGGGAGCAAACAGG